RNAcentral lists this ribosomal RNA (495 nucleotides) under uncultured bacterium. RNAcentral describes it as "partial 16S ribosomal RNA". It matches the Rfam family "Bacterial small subunit ribosomal RNA", at positions 30 to 507 of the family's 1533-position model. The record is from RNAcentral.
UGAACGCUGGCGGCGUGCCUAAUACAUGCAAGUCGAGCGAACAGACGAGGAGCUUGCUCCUCUGACGUUAGCGGCGGACGGGUGAGUAACACGUGGAUAACCUACCUAUAAGACUGGGAUAACUUCGGGAAACCGGAGCUAAUACCGGAUAAUAUAUUGAACCGCAUGGUUCAAUAGUGAAAGACGGUUUUGCUGUCACUUAUAGAUGGAUCCGCGCCGCAUUAGCUAGUUGGUAAGGUAACGGCUUACCAAGGCAACGAUGCGUAGCCGACCUGAGAGGGUGAUCGGCCACACUGGAACUGAGACACGGUCCAGACUCCUACGGGAGGCAGCAGUAGGGAAUCUUCCGCAAAGGGCGAAAGCCUGACGGAGCAACGCCGCGUGAGUGAUGAAGGUCUUCGGAUCGUAAAACUCUGUUAUUAGGGAAGGACAAAUGUGUAAGUAACUAUGCACGUCUUGACGGUACCUAAUCAGAAAGCCACGGCUAACUACGUG